Molecule: ribosomal RNA, 487 nt
Filed under: uncultured bacterium
Lineage: Bacteria
Description: bacterial SSU rRNA
Rfam family: Bacterial small subunit ribosomal RNA
Source: RNAcentral
CUACGUGCCAGCAGCCGCGGUAAUACGUAGGUGGCAAGCGUUGUCCGGAAUUAUUGGGCGUAAAGCGCGCGCAGGCGGAUCAGUCAGUCUGUCUUAAAAGUUCGGGGCUUAACCCCGUGAUGGGAUGGAAACUGCUGAUCUAGAGUAUCGGAGAGGAAAGUGGAAUUCCUAGUGUAGCGGUGAAAUGCGUAGAUAUUAGGAAGAACACCAGUGGCGAAGGCGACUUUCUGGACGAAAACUGACGCUGAGGCGCGAAAGCCAGGGGAGCGAACGGGAUUAGAUACCCCGGUAGUCCUGGCCGUAAACGAUGGGUACUAGGUGUAGGAGGUAUCGACCCCUUCUGUGCCGGAGUUAACGCAAUAAGUACCCCGCCUGGGGAGCACGACCGCAAGGUUGAAACUCAAAGGAAUUGACGGGGGCCCGCACAAGCGGUGGAGUAUGUGGUUUAAUUCGACGCAACGCGAAGAACCUUACCAGGUCUUGACAU